UUCACACCACAAAACUCUAGCCGCCUCCAUCUUUUUCGUCAACCCAUCUCCGAUGUGUCUGUGUUUUCGCCCAUCGGUUUCUUCUCUACUCGUCUUUCCAUCAUGCAGCAGCGCCGUCAAUUGAACAGAUUCUUCGUCGCGCAACCAAACACCAUGUCAAUCUACGCAUGUGUCGCGCCAACCACCAUUCGCAAACCACCACGAGUGUCACCUCAUCACAAGCCUCAAGCAGCGUUGCCGUGCUUCACGUUUCGUCAACCGUCACCAAUCAGUCGUGUCUUCGCGUAAGUCGUUAGUGGAGCCCAACCUGAGCUACACGCGACUCCUUCCAAGCUGCUCGUCCGUGUAUGCUGAGUCGUAGCGCUAGCAGACCCCUCACUCGAGCCGCAUGCAUUUGCCUUCCUCUCUAGCCAAGCCGUUCAGCUGCUAAGAUUAUUUUUUAGUCUUUUUCACCUAUUUUUUGGUAAGUUUGAUGGGAUUUUGGUUAAUGCCAAACAAAGAUUAAUUUUGGACCCUAAAUAAUUUAAUUUUGGAUUAAAUUGAACUGUUUUUCAUAAAGGACUGGUUAGAUCAAAUUGGGAGUUGGUGUUGUGGAAUUUUUCCUAAAUUAAGGUUAAAUUGGAUUCGACCUCAACUGUUAAUUAAGUUAUUGAACUUAGUAUAUUUUUACCCUUACUGUUUAAGAUUCCUCUUGAAAAGCUUGACCUUGCCGUCAGUAUUAUAUUUUUGGAUUAAGCUAAUCUCCAGGUAAAAGAUUCUCCUACUAGAUCCUCGUAUUAAAGUAAGAGUUUGCAUGUGAUAUUCAUAUUAUGCAUUGAGGUAACUAAAAUGAAUAACGUAUUGAUGUUGAUGUUGAUUGAUAUUUAUGAUUGGGUUAUGUUAUUGAUGAUGAUUGAUGAUGUUAAUGUUAAUGCAUGAAAUAUUAAUCUUAUGAAUAAGAAUAUUAUGAUUAAUAUUUAUGUCAUGCUUUUGAUGUUAUGUUAUGCUACAUGCUAUGGAUAUGGUGUUCAGUUAACUUUAUCUAUUAGAAUUAUUCCCACAUGGGUGUCCCUCGGAAUCACCACCUUUUUUUUAUUGUGUAGUCCAACGAGAUUACCAGUCCAGUAUGAGAUGAUAUGUAUAUGAGUGACUCGAUAGGGUCACUCAUAGCCCGAUUGUCAUAGUGUCUCUUUCGAGUUCACUAAAGACCAGUUUUGUCCUAGGUGUUCUUUGGAUUCACUGAAUACUAGAGAUGCUUCUACGGGAUCACAGUUUGCAUGUGUUCAGAAACGUGUCAGUUUAGGGGCAAAGAUAGAUAUAGAGAAAAGUUGGCGAAUGACAAGAAGUGACCGUGACGUGCCAUAGGGAAACGUUUUACUUCCGCCGUUAUGUUAUUAGUUUUGAUUUCAGUAUUUUUGCAUUUUCAUUAUUACUCUUUUAAAACUAGAUAGGGCCCAGGCUAGGAUUUUAUUUUUGAGAUUUAUUUCUCCAUACAUUAGUUUAUUUAUGAUUUUUUAUGAGUACUUGAGUUUUUUAUUAUGAAAAUUUGUUAUUU
Molecule: long non-coding RNA, 1534 nt
Organism: Cucumis melo (muskmelon)
Lineage: Eukaryota; Viridiplantae; Streptophyta; Magnoliopsida; Cucurbitales; Cucurbitaceae
Exons: 2
Source: RefSeq, a predicted model, not a curated record